CCUACGGGAGGCAGCAGUGGGGAAUCUUGCGCAAUGGGCGAAAGCCUGACGCAGCCAUGCCGCGUGAAUGAUGAAGGUCUUAGGAUUGUAAAAAUUCUUUCACCGGGGACGAUAAUGACGGUACCCGGAGAAGAAGCCCCGGCUAACUUCGUGCCAGCAGCCGCGGUAAUACGAAGGGGGCUAGCGUUGCUCGGAAUUACUGGGCGUAAAGGGAGCGUAGGCGGAUAGUUUAGUCAGAGGUGAAAGCCCAGGGCUCAACCUUGGAAUUGCCUUUGAUACUGGCUAUCUUGAGUAUGGGAGAGGUUAGCGGAACUCCGAGUGUAGAGGUGAAAUUCGUAGAUAUUCGGAAGAACACCAGUGGCGAAGGCGGCUAACUGGCCCAUUACUGACGCUGAGGCUCGAAAGCGUGGGGAGCAAACAGGAUUAGAUACCCUGGUAGUCCACGCCGUAAACGAUGAGUGCUAGUUGUCGGCAUGCAUGCAUGUCGGUGACGCGAGCUACGACAUAAGUACACUCCGCCGUCGGGAGGUACGGUCGCGAGAAUUAAACUACGAAAGGAAGUAGACGGCGUGAGACGUCGCCGACGGACGACCGACGAGGGAGGUUAGG
This 609-nucleotide ribosomal RNA is filed under the name uncultured bacterium. RNAcentral's name for it is "bacterial SSU rRNA". The stretch from base 1 to 520 matches the Rfam family "Bacterial small subunit ribosomal RNA", at positions 338 to 873 of the family's 1533-position model. The record is from RNAcentral.